GUGGGAAAUACACCUGCUGGGUGAAUAGAUGUGGUGGCCCGAAUCAGAAACGGCGUACAAUCAACUUAUGCGUCAUCACAGUUUCCCGCAAAGGACAUUCUAUUUUAUUUUGUGCUGUGACAUGCAAUGUGGGAUUAAAUGAUCUAAAAAAUAUUUCAAGUCUUCUGAUGAGCAAUCAAAUGAUAUCAGUGGGCAUAGAUCCAUCCGGAUCCUUCAUCUGUAAUUCAACUGAGAUCUUGGAUGGGCAGCCUACACCAACUACAAACACCUACUCAGUCUCAGCUGCUUUAAACACAACAGGUGAUUUUCAGAAGACUGAAUCUUUGAUGCCAAUUAUUUAUGGAGCAGUAGCUGCCUUUGCAUUUUUUAUUUUACUUGCAAUUUUAACUUUCUGUUUGAAAUCAAGAAUACAGGCGGCCUUUCCUUUUCGUCUUUCAUGUUGUGGCUUCACUCGUGAGGCGGAAGAGGAGUCAGCAGUAAUUUAUUCCUCUGUUAUCAUCAGGACACCAGCAAAAACAAGAAGUCAACACAGAGUUUCUGGAAGCUGUAUUUACAGUGAAUUAAAGUGUAAAGGAAAUACCAUUUAGUGUUGAGUGAAAUCAACACGGAAAUUUUGGUGAUCAUAAUUUCCACACUGUCAAUAGAUUUUGUAAUGGAUUCCACAGCAGAUAUUUGUGUUUCAUAAUUCUUUGAAAACAUCCGCACAGCCACAAGGAAUUUUUCCAUCCAGUUUUUAAACAACAAAUAUGAUGGAGCUAUUUAUAAUUUUAUAAAUAUCUUGAAUCAA
Poeciliopsis prolifica (blackstripe livebearer) is the source of this 787-nucleotide long non-coding RNA. RefSeq lists it as uncharacterized. The transcript has 5 exons. NCBI's taxonomy places the organism in Eukaryota, Metazoa, Chordata, Actinopteri, Cyprinodontiformes, Poeciliidae. The record is from RefSeq and is a predicted model, not a curated record.